Molecule: ribosomal RNA, 822 nt
Filed under: bacterium PSB-1-20
Lineage: Bacteria
Description: bacterial SSU rRNA
Rfam family: Bacterial small subunit ribosomal RNA
Source: RNAcentral
UGAACGCUAGCGGGAGGCCUAACACAUGCAAGCCGAGCGGUAGAGAUCUUUCGGGAUCUUGAGAGCGGCGUACGGGUGCGGAACACGUGUGCAACCUGCCUUUAUCAGGGGGAUAGCCUUUCGAAAGGAAGAUUAAUACCCCAUAAUAUUUAGAAUGGCAUCAUUUUAAAUUGAAAACUCCGGUGGAUAGAGAUGGGCACGCGCAAGAUUAGAUAGUUGGUGAGGUAACGGCUCACCAAGUCUGCGAUCUUUAGGGGGCCUGAGAGGGUGAUCCCCCACACUGGUACUGAGACACGGACCAGACUCCUACGGGAGGCAGCAGUGAGGAAUAUUGGACAAUGGGUGCGAGCCUGAUCCAGCCAUCCCGCGUGAAGGACGACGGCCCUAUGGGUUGUAAACUUCUUUUGUAUAGGGAUAAACCUAGAUACGUGUAUCUAGCUGAAGGUACUAUACGAAUAAGCACCGGCUAACUCCGUGCCAGCAGCCGCGGUAAUACGGAGGGUGCAAGCGUUAUCCGGAUUUAUUGGGUUUAAAGGGUCCGUAGGCGGAUCUGUAAGUCAGUGGUGAAAUCUCACAGCUUAACUGUGAAACUGCCAUUGAUACUGCAGGUCUUGAGUGUUGUUGAAGUAGCUGGAAUAAGUAGUGUAGCGGUGAAAUGCAUAGAUAUUACUUAGAACACCAAUUGCGAAGGCAGGUUACUAAGCAACAACUGACGCUGAUGGACGAAAGCGUGGGGAGCGAACAGGAUUAGAUACCCUGGUAGUCCACGCCGUAAACGAUGCUAACUCGUUUUUGGGUUUUCGGAAUCAGAGACUAAGCGAA